This 429-nucleotide ribosomal RNA is filed under the name Bacillota bacterium. RNAcentral describes it as "Firmicutes bacterium partial 16S ribosomal RNA". It matches the Rfam family "Bacterial small subunit ribosomal RNA", at positions 355 to 776 of the family's 1533-position model. Lineage: Bacteria; Bacillati; Bacillota. The record is from RNAcentral.
UAGGGAAUCUUCGGCAAUGGACGGAAGUCUGACCGAGCAACGCCGCGUGAGUGAAGAAGGUUUUCGGAUCGUAAAGCUCUGUUGUUAGAGAAGAACGUUGGUAGGAGUGGAAAAUCUACCAAGUGACGGUAACUAACCAGAAAGGGACGGCUAACUACGUGCCAGCAGCCGCGGUAAUACGUAGGUCCCGAGCGUUGUCCGGAUUUAUUGGGCGUAAAGCGAGCGCAGGCGGUUCUUUAAGUCUGAAGUUAAAGGCAGUGGCUUAACCAUUGUACGCUUUGGAAACUGGAGGACUUGAGUGUAGAAGGGGAGAGUGGAAUUCCAUGUGUAGCGGUGAAAUGCGUAGAUAUAUGGAGGAACACCGGUGGCGAAAGCGGCUCUCUGGGCUGUAACUGACGCUGAGGCUCGAAAGCGUGGGGAGCAAACAGG